This is a long non-coding RNA of Aedes aegypti (yellow fever mosquito), 1659 nucleotides long. RefSeq lists it as uncharacterized. The record is from RefSeq and is a predicted model, not a curated record. Lineage: Eukaryota; Metazoa; Arthropoda; Insecta; Diptera; Culicidae. The transcript is spliced from 3 exons.
AAAUUGUUUGCAACGAAAUAUAAUAAAAUCACUGCAGCACGCAACACUGCCACAUCAUCAUGAAAAUCAUUAAGAUUGUUGCCGUCAGAGCAACUCUACACAUGCCAAAACUGCACGAAAACUCUCGCACUCUCGAAAAAGAGAAUCGAACAUUUACGACGACUAAGCUCACGAACUUGUACGUUGCUGAUCAUUCGUUUUCUGCUGGCUUAAAAAGUGGACGUACGGGAGGUGCAUGACUAGCGAAGCUAGUGCACAGAUUGAGUGUGAAAAAAUCAAAUCUCGGCUCAAAGAAAAAUCAUCAGGUAAUUCGUCACGACGUAGUCCAGAAUUGGACGUAGUGCUAAAAUCACCAUUUAUGCUAGCAGGUGUCCGACGACUCCGAUUCGACCAUCAAUCGGAAAGACACGCUCAACCCGCAUGGAAAACGGUGAAACGACGCUCACCAGUAUUCCAAAAGAACCCGUCCACACGCACUCGUUGUAGUGCUAGCCAACACUUCGAUUUGCAACCGAACGACGUUCAUCUAAGCCAGCAGAAACAAAUGCCAAAUUAACUUGGACAGAUCGGCAAACCGGUUGGAAAUUACCAGGGUUCGCAUCACUGAGACGAGAAAAUCGAAAGGCUCUCUACGGAGGUAAUUUCAACAAAAAAUUCCAAUUGGAAUGUGAUUAUAAUUCCUGUUUUGUCAAACAGGGCCUUUUGUUCGGAUUCUUCAAGUGUGAUCGCCAUCGACUACGAAGAGUGUGGGAGAGCAACAAGCACGCACCAACACCAUUAGCGCCAUCGAGUCGCACGGCGGUCACCGAGUCACACACACGAACAUCCAAGUCAAAGUUCUCGACGAGCGUGCAAUCUCGAGCCGCAAGAUAACGACGCAGCUACGGGAGCGGGAGAAGCAACAGGGUGUGACUGUGUUUAGAACAUCAGCGUGAUCACACGCAAGUGAAGGGAGUGAUCGGUGUUGAAGAGCGAGAGAAACGUUUGAGUGUGCGUCGAACAGUACAAGUGGCCGGAGAGCGAUCAGCGUAGUGAAGACCGACAGGACCGUCGGUGUGUCGGCGUGCAUCCCCGGUUGCAAGUGGUAUCAGGUGAAUGCAUCGCAUAGUGAGGUCGGCUUGCAGUUAGUGGCAGUGUGUGAGUGCAUGUGCAGUUGAAUCUGCUCGAAUAGUGACCGCUCGAGAAAAGCGCGUUCUGAAAACCAGUUGAGAAGAGAGAAGAAGAAUAUCAUCAUCAUCGCAUCGAUGCGGGGCCCCGGCAGGUGCAUCAUCAUCAACAGCAUCGGUGCAGCAACGUCAGCAUGUGAGAAAGGCACAGGUGUAGUACCUGAUAUAUAAGGUAGGACAGUAUAUGAGACCUAUUGAGCAUAAAUAGAUUGUGAUGAUGAGAAUGAAUAUGCUUAUGCUUGUUUACUUUAUUGUUUAUGGCCACCUAUUGGCUGAGCGAGAAUUUCAAAUCCUUUAAGAGCGCCAUAGCCGGGCAGGGACUUUCAAAUGUUACAAAUCUCAAUCACCCAAUUGUGUUGGACCGUGAACAUGAGUUGAUUUAUGCGAGUUGAGCAUUUGGUGGGAAAAUCAUUUAUUAUUGAGCCCCAAACAAUAAAGUUAGUAAUAAGUAAUGCAGGGAUUCUUCGGUAUUCAAAGCAUAUUUACCUUAAAA